CCGGCACCACCUCACAGCCCACCAGGCUGAGGGGCUGCUGGGCCGCCUUGCUGCGGUUCCGGUCCUGGUAGAAGUACAGGUGACUGUCCCUGACGGAGCACCAGCGCGACUUCCACUGGCCGUUCACCAGCACGUUCAGCUUCCUCCCCAACUUAGAUGAAUAUUUACAGAGCUGACACCGUGUGCCAAGCACAGCCUUGUCCCUGGGGCUGGAAAGAUCAGUAAACAUCCAGUCUUCAGGCCCCUCUGCCUGCCCCACACACCAUGGGUUGACAUCUCUGUGCUGCUCACCUUCCCACAGGCAUUGGCUUACAAAGCGGAUGCCUUCUCCAUUCUACGGGGCCAGCAGCUGCUCUGAACCUUAGCCAGGAAGAACUAGGCCCAUGCAACAGGGUCAAAGUACACGGCCACCUUCGCACCCAGUCCAGUGCUGGACACUCAGUGGGGAUCGUGAAUUUCUUAGGGCCACGAGACCAUCACAUCAGAGUAGCAAAGUGGAAGAAUGUGAGCCCAGGACCUAGGAACUCUGGCUCAUUCAGGCAGGCGCCCCACUCGCCCAUCACAAUUCUCUGGACCAAAGAGAGGCGGGGAGCUCAGACACUGAGUCCUGGGAAGGAGAGUAUCUAUGUUCUCUCUGGCCCUUCCCCAACCACAGGGGACAGACGCAUGCUUCCCUGCUGAGUAACUGCCAGCAAGAACCCAGCCACAUCUCCCAAAGUGACUCACUGGGACCAGGAUCCCAGGCCCAACACCAUGCCCUCUGAGGCCACAGGGGCUGGCAGAGCUGGGCCGUUACCUGGCACCCUGGCCAGAGAACCAGGAGGCUCCAAAGGUAGGGCCCUGUCUGCUGCUGCCUUCCUGUCCCUCCAGCUCACCCUGCCAGCCGCAAAACACAGAGCUGAACUGGGACUCAGGAAAAGAGCCCAGGGCUGGCACACGGGUUCCAUGAGGAGGAGGAAAAGGCCCAAAGAUGGACAGUAGUGGCCUUCAGGCUCCAGGGGGUAAGCAAGAGGGUCUGGUGAGUCAUAAAGAGCUACCCGCCGCAAAGAUCAGCAGAGACCGUGGACCGUGG
Molecule: non-coding RNA, 1072 nt
Organism: Kogia breviceps (pygmy sperm whale)
Lineage: Eukaryota; Metazoa; Chordata; Mammalia; Artiodactyla; Physeteridae
Source: RefSeq, a predicted model, not a curated record